CGCUGGCGGCACGCCUAACACAUGCAAGUCGAACGAAGUAGCAAUACUUAGUGGCAGACGGGUGAGUAACAUGUAGGUAUCUACCCUUUGGCCUGGAAUAACACGAGGAAACUUGUGCUAAUACUGGAUAAGUCUUUACGGAGAAAGCUUUAUGCACCAUUGGAUGAGCCUGCACUUGAUUAGUUUGUUGGUGGGGUAAUGGCCUACCAAGACUGUGAUCAAUAGCUGAUUUGAGAGGAUGAUCAGCCACAUUGGGACUGAGACACGGCCCAAACUCCUACGGGAGGCAGCAGUGGGGAAUCUUGCACAAUGGAGGAAACUCUGAUGCAGCGAUGCCGCGUGAGUGAAGAAGGCCCUUGGGUUGUAAAGCUCUUUCGUCGGGGAAGAAAAUGACUGUACCCGAAUAAGAAGGUCCGGCUAACUUCGUGCCAGCAGCCGCGGUAAUACGAAGGGACCUAGCGUAGUUCGGAAUUACUGGGCUUAAAGAGUUCGUAGGUGGUUGAAAAAGUUGGUGGUGAAAUCCCAGAGCUUAACUCUGGAACUGCCAUCAAAACUUUUCAGCUAGAGUUUGAUAGAGGAAAGCAGAAUUUCUAGUGUAGAGGUGAAAUUCGUAGAUAUUAGAAAGAAUACCAAUUGCGAAGGCAGCUUUCUGGAUCAUUACUGACACUGAGGAACGAAAGCAUGGGUAGCGAAGAGGAUUAGAUACCCUCGUAGUCCAUGCCGUAAACGAUGUGUGUUAGACGUUGGAAAUUCAUUUUCAGUGUCGCAGCGAAAGCGAUAAACACACCGCCUGGGGAGUACGACCG
RNAcentral lists this ribosomal RNA (806 nucleotides) under uncultured Pelagibacteraceae bacterium. RNAcentral describes it as "bacterial SSU rRNA". It matches the Rfam family "Bacterial small subunit ribosomal RNA", at positions 34 to 888 of the family's 1533-position model. Lineage: Bacteria; Pseudomonadati; Pseudomonadota; Alphaproteobacteria; Candidatus Pelagibacterales; Candidatus Pelagibacteraceae. The record is from RNAcentral.